This 172-nucleotide ribosomal RNA is filed under the name uncultured Chelativorans sp. RNAcentral describes it as "partial 16S ribosomal RNA". It matches the Rfam family "Bacterial small subunit ribosomal RNA", at positions 335 to 524 of the family's 1533-position model. Lineage: Bacteria; Pseudomonadati; Pseudomonadota; Alphaproteobacteria; Hyphomicrobiales; Phyllobacteriaceae. The record is from RNAcentral.
ACUCCUACGGGAGGCAGCAGUUAGGAAUCUUGGACAAUGGGCGCAAGCCUGAUCCAGCCAUGCCGCGUGAGUGAUGAAGGCCUUAGGGUUGUAAAGCUCUUUCAGCGGGGAAGAUAAUGACGGUACCCGCAGAAGAAGCCCCGGCUAACUUCGUGCCAGCAGCCGCGGUAAU